AAUCAUUAAAAACAGGGGAAAAGAAAGGAGGCAUAUUGAGAUAAAUCCCACAACCGUUGGGCACUAGGAGACACUUAAAUUAUUCAAAGUUAAGGAGAAAAGACAUGAGGGGCCUGCCCCAGAGCCAGCAAAAACACAUAUGAAUUCAUUAAUGAUCCUUUUUCCGUAGGGUGACUGCGGAAGGAU
Molecule: ribosomal RNA, 186 nt
Filed under: Pleurotus nebrodensis
Lineage: Eukaryota; Fungi; Basidiomycota; Agaricomycetes; Agaricales; Pleurotaceae
Description: partial 18S ribosomal RNA
Source: RNAcentral